This 493-nucleotide ribosomal RNA is filed under the name uncultured bacterium. RNAcentral describes it as "partial 16S ribosomal RNA". It matches the Rfam family "Bacterial small subunit ribosomal RNA", at positions 28 to 506 of the family's 1533-position model. The record is from RNAcentral.
GACGAACGCUGGCGGCGUGCUUAACACAUGCAAGUCGAACGGAAAGGCCUGCUUUCCCUUGUGGAUUGCGGGUACUCGAGUGGCGAACGGGUGAGUAACACGUGAGUGAUCCGCCCCCAACUUGGGUAUAAGCCUGGGAAACUGGGUCUAAUUCCCGAUAGGACUGCAGGGUGGUGCCUGUGGUGGAAAACGAUUUUCUAGUGGUUGGGGAUGAGCUCGCGGCCUAUCAGCUUGUUGGUGGGGUAAUGGCCUACCAAGGCGGCGACGGGUAGCCGGCCUGGGAGGGGGGAGGGCCAAAUUGGGAGUGAGAUCCGGCCCAAACUCCAACGGGAGGGGGGAGUGGGGAAUAUUGCACAAUGGGGGGAAGCUUGAUGGAGGCACGGCGGGGGGGGGAUGGCGGCUUUGGGGUUGUAAACUCCUUGCGGCCGGGAGGAAGCCACCUGGUUGGAAGGGUGGGGGCGGUGGUGGUAAAAGAAGCCCCGGCUAACUACGG